Molecule: ribosomal RNA, 402 nt
Filed under: bacterium
Lineage: Bacteria
Description: partial 16S ribosomal RNA
Rfam family: Bacterial small subunit ribosomal RNA
Source: RNAcentral
UGGGGAAUUUUGCACAAUGGGGGAAACCCUGAUGCAGCGACGCCGCGUGAUUUAGAAGGCCUUCGGGUUGUAAAAAUCUUUUCUAUGGGAAGAAAAUGACAGUACCAUAGGAAUAAGGACCGGCUAAUUACGUGCCAGCAGCCGCGGUAAUACGUAAGGUCCGAGCGUUGUCCGGAAUCAUUGGGCGUAAAGGGUACGUAGGCGGGUAAGCAAGUUAGAAGUGAAAUCCUAUAGCUCAACUAUAGUAAGCUUUUAAAACGGCUCAUCUUGAGGUAUGGAAGGGAAAGUGGAAUUCCUAGUGUAGAGGUGAAAUGCGCAGAUAUUAGGAGGAUUACCGGUGGCGAAGGCGACUUUCUGGACAUAACCUGACGCUGAGGUACGAAAGCGUGGGUAGCAAACAGG